Molecule: ribosomal RNA, 98 nt
Filed under: Diphterostomum sp. CG-2013
Lineage: Eukaryota; Metazoa; Platyhelminthes; Trematoda; Plagiorchiida; Zoogonidae
Description: partial 28S ribosomal RNA
Rfam family: Eukaryotic large subunit ribosomal RNA
Source: RNAcentral
CGCUGAACUUAAGCAUAUCACUAAGCGGAGGAAAAGAAACUAACAAGGAUUCCCUUAGUAACGGCGAGUGAACAGGGAUGAGCCCAGCACCGAAGCCU